Molecule: ribosomal RNA, 264 nt
Filed under: uncultured bacterium
Lineage: Bacteria
Description: partial 16S ribosomal RNA
Rfam family: Bacterial small subunit ribosomal RNA
Source: RNAcentral
UACGUAGGGACCAAGCGUUAUUCGGAAUUACUGGGCGUAAAGGGCGCGUAGGCGGCGCUCCAAGUUAGGCGUGAAAGUCCUGGGCUCAACCUGGGAACUGCGCUUAAGACUGGAGUGCUUGAGGAUGGAAGAGGGUCGUGGAAUUCCCAGUGUAGAGGUGAAAUUCGUAGAUAUUGGGAAGAACACCGGUGGCGAAGGCGGCGACCUGGUCCAUUACUGACGCUGAGGCGCGAUAGCGUGGGGGAAGCAAACGAUGAUAGACGU